CGUUAUAACCGGCGAUUUCCGAAUGGGGAAACCCAGUGUGUUUCGACACACUAUCAUUAACUGAAUCCAUAGGUUAAUGAGGCGAACCGGGGGAACUGAAACAUCUAAGUACCCCGAGGAAAAGAAAUCAACCGAGAUUCCCCCAGUAGCGGCGAGCGAACGGGGAGCAGCCCAGAGCCUGAAUCAGUGUGUGUGUUAGUGGAAGCGUCUGGAAAGGCGCGCGAUACAGGGUGACAGCCCCGUACACAAAAAUGCACAUGCUGUGAGCUCGAUGAGUAGGGCGGGACACGUGGUAUCCUGUCUGAAUAUGGGGGGACCAUCC
RNAcentral lists this ribosomal RNA (322 nucleotides) under Escherichia coli. Its description in RNAcentral is "partial 23S ribosomal RNA". It matches the Rfam family "Bacterial large subunit ribosomal RNA", at positions 96 to 458 of the family's 2925-position model. The record is from RNAcentral. Lineage: Bacteria; Pseudomonadati; Pseudomonadota; Gammaproteobacteria; Enterobacterales; Enterobacteriaceae.